CGGACGGGUGAGUAAUGUCUGGGAAACUGCCCGAUGGAGGGGGAUAACUACUGGAAACGGUAGCUAAUACCGCAUAACGUCGCAAGACCAAAGAGGGGGACCUUCGGGCCUCUUGCCAUCGGAUGUGCCCAGAUGGGAUUAGCUAGUAGGUGAGGUAACGGCUUACCUAGGCGACGAUCCCUAGCUGGUCUGAGAGGAUGAUCAGCCACACUGGGACUGAGACACGGUCCAG
Molecule: ribosomal RNA, 232 nt
Filed under: uncultured bacterium
Lineage: Bacteria
Description: partial 16S ribosomal RNA
Rfam family: Bacterial small subunit ribosomal RNA
Source: RNAcentral